AAGGGGNNGGUGCAUCGAUGAAGAACGCAGCGAAAUGCGAUAAGUAAUGUGAAUUGCAGAAUUCAGUGAAUCAUCGAAUCUUUGAACGCACCUUGCGCUCCUUGGUAUUCCGAGGAGCAUGCCUGUUUGAGUGUCAUGAAAUCUUCAACCUACAAGCUUUUGUGGUUUGUAGGCUUGGACUUGGAGGCUUGUCGGCCGUUAUCGGUCGGCUCCUCUUAAAUGCAUUAGCUUGGUUCCUUGCGGAUCGGCUCUCGGUGUGAUAAUGUCUACGCCGCGACCGUGAAGCGUUUGGCGAGCUUCUAACCGUCUUAUAAGACAGCUUUAUGACCUCUGACCUAAAU
RNAcentral lists this ribosomal RNA (341 nucleotides) under Ganoderma lucidum. RNAcentral's name for it is "eukaryotic LSU rRNA". The stretch from base 11 to 136 matches the Rfam family "5.8S ribosomal RNA", at positions 29 to 154 of the family's 154-position model. The record is from RNAcentral. Lineage: Eukaryota; Fungi; Basidiomycota; Agaricomycetes; Polyporales; Polyporaceae.